This is a long non-coding RNA of Urocitellus parryii (Arctic ground squirrel), 563 nucleotides long. NCBI's taxonomy places the organism in Eukaryota, Metazoa, Chordata, Mammalia, Rodentia, Sciuridae. The record is from Ensembl.
CUUGGGGGCAGGGCACCGAGUCCACGCUGUCCCUGCUUAGAUUUCCCCUCCCGUGUCUGGGGAAAGACUUACCAUCAUUUUCACUUUGGAUCGAGGGCAGGGAACACAGUGCAGCGUGCAGCGGACCCGGCCACGGUGACCACAACCAUGUCCCCAUCAGCUCCUGCAUGCWGAGGCUGCAGGCCAGGCCCAGCUGCCCCCACACAGACUCCAAGAGCGAAGGGGCCUGGUGUCCAGGCUGCCCACGUGGCCUUGUCUUGUUGGUCUGCUUGUCCUCAGGUUCAAAACUUCAGGUCAAGACUUUUUAAACAGCCCUCCAGGGGCCUCUCACCGUCUCCCCGGGGCCACUGUGAGUGUGUCUGUGCUGUGCUGCAGCCGGGCCUCGCCUCGCUGGUUCAAUAAACCCUGCCAGGCCCCCCACCUGGCUGGGCCAUGGACACCCCUCUCCAUGUCCUGCGUGUGGACUACACAGGACACCUCUGGUCCCUCAACAAGGACACGGUCUCCUUCUUCUGUGUUCCUGACCUUUAGCACAUAGUAGGUACUCAAUAAAUGCAUUGAAU